GGUUCCAUAGUGUAACAGUUAACACGUCUGCUUUACAUACAGAAGGUCCUGGGUUCAUGCCCCAGUGGAGCCA
Molecule: transfer RNA, 73 nt
Filed under: Pteropus alecto (black flying fox)
Lineage: Eukaryota; Metazoa; Chordata; Mammalia; Chiroptera; Pteropodidae
Rfam family: tRNA
About the family: Transfer RNA (tRNA) molecules are approximately 80 nucleotides in length. Their secondary structure includes four short double-helical elements and three loops (D, anti-codon, and T loops).
Source: Rfam by way of RNAcentral